AGGACGAACGCUGGCGGCGUGCUUAACACAUGCAAGUCGAGCGGUAAGGCCCUUUCGGGGGUACACGAGCGGCGAACGGGUGAGUAACACGUGAGUAAUCUGCCCUCCACUUGGGGAUAAGCUUCGGAAACGGGGUCUAAUACCUGAUACGACAACUACCUGCAUGGGUUGGUUGUGGAAAGUUUUUUCGGUGGGGGAUGUGCUCGCGGCCUAUCAGCUUGUUGGUGGGUAAUGGCCUACCAAGGCUUCGACGGGUAGCCGGCCUGAGAGGGUGACCGGCCAACGACUGGGACUGAGACACGGCCCAGACUCCUAGGGAGCAGCAGGUGGGAAUAUUGGACAAGUGGGCGGAAGCCUGAUCCAGCAACGCCGCGUGAGGGAUCGGACGGCCUUCGGUUGUAAACCUCUUUACAGUACCGACGUAACGCGCCCGUUGUGGUACGGUGGUAACGGUAGGUACGAGAAGAAGCCGACCG
RNAcentral lists this ribosomal RNA (476 nucleotides) under uncultured soil bacterium. Its description in RNAcentral is "bacterial SSU rRNA". It matches the Rfam family "Bacterial small subunit ribosomal RNA", at positions 26 to 499 of the family's 1533-position model. The record is from RNAcentral.